RNAcentral lists this long non-coding RNA (242 nucleotides) under Lathyrus oleraceus (garden pea). Its description in RNAcentral is "Pisum sativum (pea) long non-coding RNA (PSAT_LNC017483)". The record is from RNAcentral. Lineage: Eukaryota; Viridiplantae; Streptophyta; Magnoliopsida; Fabales; Fabaceae.
UGAAAUAGGGUUUACAACUACCGGUAUAAGGGUAGAAAACCACAGACUCCGCCGGGGAUAAGAUGAAUGAUUACUGAUUACUGAGCAAUUAUUCAUUUGUACCACAGGGAAGCACAGGAAACAGUCACAAGAAGCCAAUCUAGGAUCAAACUAAAGAGGCAAGCUGAAUCAAGACUCAUCCCAGUGAGGAUAUAACUCAAUGGAGACUCCCAUCCCAAUAUAUGUGUUGGGUGGAAACAAAA